AGACCCGAAACCCGGUGAUCUAGCCAUGGGCAGGUUGAAGGUUGGGUAACACUAACUGGAGGACCGAACCGACUAAUGUUGAAAAAUUAGCGGAUGACCUGUGGCUGGGGGUGAAAGGCCAAUCAAACCGGGAGAUAGCUGGUUCUCCCCGAAAGCUAUUUAGGUAGCGCCUCGUGAAUUCAUCUCCGGGGGUAGAGCACUGUUUCGGCUAGGGGGCCAUCCCGGCUUACCAACCCGAUGCAAACUGCGAAUACCGGAGAAUGUUAUCACGGGAGACACACGGCGGGUGCUAACGUCCGUCGUGAAGAGGGAAACAACCCAGACCGCCAGCUAAGGUCCCAAAGUCAUGGUUAAGUGGGAAACGAUGUGGGAAGGCCCAGACAGCCAGGAUGUUGGCUUAGAAGCAGCCAUCAUUUAAAGAAAGCGUAAUAGCUCACUGGUCGAGUCGGCCUGCGCGGAAGAUGUAACGGGGCUAAACCAUGCACCGAAGCUGCGGCAGCGACACUGUGUGUUGUUGGGUAGGGGAGCGUUCUGUAAGCCUGUGAAGGUGUGUCGUGAGGCAUGCUGGAGGUAUCAGAAGUGCGAAUGCUGACAUAAGUAACGAUAAAGCGGGUGAAAAGCCCGCUCGCCGGAAGACCAAGGGUUCCUGUCCAACGUUAAUCGGGGCAGGGUGAGUCGACCCCUAAGGCGAGGCCGAAAGGCGUAGUCGAUGGGAAACGGGUUAAUAUUCCCGUACUUGGUGUUACUGCGAAGGGGGGACGGAGAAGGCUAUGUUGGCCGGGCGACGGUUGUCCCGGUUUAAGCGUGUAGGUGUGUGUUCCAGGUAAAUCCGGUUCACUUUAACACUGAGGCGUGACGACGAGGCACUACGGUGCUGAAGCAACAAAUGCCCUGCUUCCAGGAAAAGCCUCUAAGCAUCAGGUAACAUCAAAUCGUACCCCAAACCGACACAGGUGGUCAGGUAGAGAAUACCAAGGCGCUUGAGAGAACUCGGGUGAAGGAACUAGGCAAAAUGGUGCCGUAACUUCGGGAGAAGGCACGCUGACACGUAGGUGAAGUGAUUUACUCAUGGAGCUGAAGUCAGUCGAAGAUACCAGCUGGCUGCAACUGUUUAUUAAAAACACAGCACUGUGCAAACACGAAAGUGGACGUAUACGGUGUGACGCCUGCCCGGUGCCGGAAGGUUAAUUGAUGGGGUCAGCGCAAGCGAAGCUCCUGAUCGAAGCCCCGGUAAACGGCGGCCGUAACUAUAACGGUCCUAAGGUAGCGAAAUUCCUUGUCGGGUAAGUUCCGACCUGCACGAAUGGCGUAAUGAUGGCCAGGCUGUCUCCACCCGAGACUCAGUGAAAUUGAACUCGCUGUGAAGAUGCAGUGUACCCGCGGCAAGACGGAAAGACCCCGUGAACCUUUACUAUAGCUUGACACUGAACAUUGAGCCUUGAUGUGUAGGAUAGGUGGGAGGCUUUGAAGUGUG
Molecule: ribosomal RNA, 1474 nt
Filed under: Salmonella enterica
Lineage: Bacteria; Pseudomonadati; Pseudomonadota; Gammaproteobacteria; Enterobacterales; Enterobacteriaceae
Description: partial 23S ribosomal RNA
Rfam family: Bacterial large subunit ribosomal RNA
Source: RNAcentral